CCCUUAGAUGUUCUCGGCCGCACACGCGCUACACUGAAAGAGGCAACGUGUUUGCCUGAUUCGAAAGAAUUGGGUAACCCCCUAAUCUCUUUCGUGCUGGGGAUUGAGGUUUGCAAUUAUCCUUCAUGAACGAGGAAUUCCCAGUAAGUGCAAGUCAUAAGCUUGCGCUGACUACGUCCCUGCCCUUUGUACACACCGCCCGUCGCUACUACCGAUUGAAUGAUUUAGUGAGGACUUCGGACUGGGACCGAUGCGGCUUUCGGGCUGCGUCGGUAUUCUGGAAAGAUGUCCAAACUGUAUCAUUUAGAGGAAGUAAAAGUCGUANCA
This 327-nucleotide ribosomal RNA is filed under the name uncultured eukaryote. RNAcentral's name for it is "partial 18S ribosomal RNA". It matches the Rfam family "Eukaryotic small subunit ribosomal RNA", at positions 1470 to 1796 of the family's 1831-position model. The record is from RNAcentral.